GAUGAAGAACGUAGUGAAAUGCGAUAAGUAAUGUGAAUUGCAGAAUUCAGUGAAUCAUCGAAUCUUUGAACGCACAUUGCGCCCGCCAGUAUUCUGGCGGGCAUGCCUGUUCGAGCGUCAUUUCAACCAUCAAGCCCCCGGGCUUGUGUUGGGGACCUGCGGCUGCCGCAGGCCCUGAAAAGCAGUGGCGGGCUCGCUGUCACACCGAGCGUAGUAGAUUUUAUCUCGCUCUGGGCGUGCUGCGGGUUCCGGCCGUUAAACCACCCUUUUAACCCAAGGUUGACCUCGGAUCAGGUAGGAAGACCCGCUGAACUUAAGCAUAUCAAGCGGAGGA
This 334-nucleotide unclassified non-coding RNA is filed under the name soil metagenome. RNAcentral's name for it is "partial contains 5.8S ribosomal RNA, internal transcribed spacer 2, and large subunit ribosomal RNA". The stretch from base 1 to 120 matches the Rfam family "5.8S ribosomal RNA", at positions 35 to 154 of the family's 154-position model. The record is from RNAcentral.